GGUGCAUGGCAGACGGGUGAGUAACGCGUGGGGAAUCUACCUCUUUGUGGGGAAUAACGCUCCGAAAGGAGUGGUAAUACCGCAUGAGAUCCAUGGCUGGGAUGCUGUGGAUGAAACCUGGGGACCGCAAGGCCUGGGGCAAGGAGAGGAUCCUGCGUCUGAUUAGCUAGUUGGUGAGGUAAUGGCCCACCAAGGCGACGAUCAGUAGCCGGCCUGAGAGGGUGAUCGGCCACACUGGAACUGAGACACGGUCCAGACUCCUACGGGAGGCAGCAGUGGGGAAUUUUGCGCAAUGGGCGAAAGCCUGACGCAGCAACGCCGCGUGGGUGAUGAAGGUCUUCGGAUCGUAAAACCCUGUCGUCGGGGACGAAGGUUUGGGCGUUAAUAGCGUUCAAGCUUGACGGUACCCGGAGAGGAAGCCCCGGCUAACUCUGUGCCAGCAGCCGCGGUAAUACAGAGGGGGCAAGCGUUAUUCGGAAUUAUUGGGCGUAAAGGGCGCGUAGGCGGCUUUUUAAGUGAGAUGUGUAAUCCCCGAGCUCAACUUGGGAACUGCAUCUCAUACUGGGAGGCUAGAGUACUGGAGAGGGUGGUAGAAUUCCACGUGUAGCGGUGAAAUGCGUAGAGAUGUGGAGGAAUACCAGUGGCGAAGGCGGCCACCUGGACAGUAACUGACGCUGAGGCGCGAAAGUGUGGGUAGCAAACAGGAUUAGAUACCCUGGUAGUCCACACUGUAAACGAUGAACACUUGGUGUGGAGGGAGUUGACCCCUUCCGUGCCGUAGCUAACGCGUUAAGUGU
Molecule: ribosomal RNA, 797 nt
Filed under: uncultured bacterium
Lineage: Bacteria
Description: bacterial SSU rRNA
Rfam family: Bacterial small subunit ribosomal RNA
Source: RNAcentral